UACGUAGGAGGCGAGCGUUGUCCGGAAUUACUGGGCGUAAAGCGCGCGUAGGCGGUGCGGUACGACCGCUGUGAAAGCCCCCGGCUCAACUGGGGAGGGUCAGUGGUAACGGCCGCGCUCUGAGUGCAGGAGAGGGACGUGGAACUCCGGGAGUAGCGGUGAAAUGCGUAGAGACCCGGAGGAACACCAGUGGCGAAGGCGGCGUCCUGGUCUGCUACUGACGCUGAGGCGCGAAAGCUAGGGGA
This 245-nucleotide ribosomal RNA is filed under the name uncultured Bacillus sp. RNAcentral's name for it is "partial 16S ribosomal RNA". It matches the Rfam family "Bacterial small subunit ribosomal RNA", at positions 524 to 767 of the family's 1533-position model. Lineage: Bacteria; Bacillati; Bacillota; Bacilli; Caryophanales; Bacillaceae. The record is from RNAcentral.